ACCAGAACGGUAGGGUUUCGAACCAGAAGAUUUCGUGGUAUUGUGUGUAAUAAUGAGUUUGCGGAUAAAGGGCAUGUGAAUUACUAUAUCGAGCCAACGAGAUGCGGCGAGGAGAAAGAGAAGGUUAAGGUUAUGGAGAAGGAGAAGAAGGCGUUGAAGAAGAAGGCGAAAGUUCUUAAAAGU
RNAcentral lists this small RNA (183 nucleotides) under Arabidopsis thaliana (thale cress). RNAcentral's name for it is "ATSL048410". Lineage: Eukaryota; Viridiplantae; Streptophyta; Magnoliopsida; Brassicales; Brassicaceae. The record is from RNAcentral.